RNAcentral lists this unclassified non-coding RNA (355 nucleotides) under uncultured fungus. Its description in RNAcentral is "partial contains small subunit ribosomal RNA, internal transcribed spacer 1, and 5.8S ribosomal RNA". The stretch from base 1 to 73 matches the Rfam family "Eukaryotic small subunit ribosomal RNA", at positions 1759 to 1831 of the family's 1831-position model. The record is from RNAcentral. Lineage: Eukaryota; Fungi.
GCAAACUUGGUCAUUUAGAGGAAGUAAAAGUCGUAACAAGGUUUCCGUAGGUGAACCUGCGGAAGGAUCAUUAAUGAAUUAUAACGCUGAGGUUGUAGCUGGCCUUUCAGUCGAGAGGUAUUGUGCACGCCUUGGUAAUUCCAAAUUCUUAUACCUCUGUGCACUUUACAUGGGAGAUUUAUUGGUUGGGUGAGAAAGGAGGGCUUUGGCCCUCCCGGUAAUUCGACUCAAUAAUCUUCUGUGGUUCCAUACAAUUCAUACCAAUCAGUUUAGAAUGUAGUACCGCGUCUAACGCAAACUAUAUACAACUUUCAGCAACGGAUCUCUUGGCUCUCGCAUCGAUGAAGAACGCAGC